This 323-nucleotide ribosomal RNA is filed under the name uncultured eukaryote. RNAcentral's name for it is "partial 18S ribosomal RNA". It matches the Rfam family "Eukaryotic small subunit ribosomal RNA", at positions 1470 to 1796 of the family's 1831-position model. The record is from RNAcentral.
CCCUUAGAUGUUCUGAACCGCACGCGUGUUACACUGAUGCAUUCAACGAGCUUUACCUUGGCCGAGAGGCCUGGGAAAUCUUUUUAGCAUGCAUCGUGAUAGGGAUUGAUUAUUGCAAUUAUUAAUCAUGAACGAGGAAUUCCUAGUAAACGCAUUUCAUCAAAAUGCAUUGAUUACGUCCCUGCCCUUUGUACACACCGCCCGUCGCUCCUACCGAUUGAGUAUACCGGUGAAUUAUUCGGAUUCAGGUUUUGAGUGUCCGCACUCUGAGCAGGGAGAAGAAUCGUAAGCCAUGAUACUUAGAGGAAGGAGAAGUCGUAACA